Molecule: long non-coding RNA, 235 nt
Filed under: Elaeis guineensis (African oil palm)
Lineage: Eukaryota; Viridiplantae; Streptophyta; Magnoliopsida; Arecales; Arecaceae
Description: long non-coding RNA (EGUI_LNC011135)
Source: RNAcentral
UCUCGGAUCAAAAUGGCCAUGAUCUUUCUUGGAUCAAAUCAUUCACUUAAAAAGCCUUUCAAGGCUGUCCCAGGAUGAGCUCCUGGCCGGCUGUCCCACGUACGAAAGCCCGUGAGAGGCUGUCCCAGGCAUAAGCUCCUGGCGGGCUGUCCCAGGCAUGAGCUCCUGGCCGGCUGAUCCACCUGUAAGCCAGUGGGGGCUGUCCCAGACAUAAGCUCCUGACGGACUGUUCCAC